This 23-nucleotide microRNA is filed under the name Tribolium castaneum (red flour beetle). RNAcentral describes it as "tca-miR-11619a-5p". The record is from miRBase by way of RNAcentral. Lineage: Eukaryota; Metazoa; Arthropoda; Insecta; Coleoptera; Tenebrionidae.
CGAAGUCUGUGAUAUUCUUCAUU